This 460-nucleotide ribosomal RNA is filed under the name uncultured bacterium. Its description in RNAcentral is "partial 16S ribosomal RNA". It matches the Rfam family "Bacterial small subunit ribosomal RNA", at positions 338 to 795 of the family's 1533-position model. The record is from RNAcentral.
CCUACGGGUGGCAGCAGUGAGGAAUAUUGGUCAAUGGGAGGAAUCCUGAACCAGCCAUGCCGCGUGCAGGACGACGGCUCUACGAGUUGUAAACUGCUUUUGUACCGGGGUAAAAUGCUCUACGUGUAGGGCUUUGAAAGUACGUUACGAAUAAGGAUCGGCUAACUCCGUGCCAGCAGCCGCGGUAAUACGGAGGAUCCGAGCGUUAUCCGGAUUUAUUGGGUUUAAAGGGAGCGUAGGUGGUUUUAUAAGUUAGUGGUGAAAGACUGAGGCUCAACCGCGAGACUGCAGCUAAUACUGUCGGCCUAGAGAUCGGUAGCAGCAGGCGGAAUGUGUAGUGUAGCGGUGAAAUGCAUAGAUAUUACGCAGAACUCCGAUUGCGAAGGCAGCUUGCUAGGCCGGAUCUGACACUGAUGCACGAAAGUGUGGGGAUCGAACAGGAUUAGAUACCCUUGUAGUC